This 450-nucleotide ribosomal RNA is filed under the name uncultured bacterium. Its description in RNAcentral is "partial 16S ribosomal RNA". It matches the Rfam family "Bacterial small subunit ribosomal RNA", at positions 354 to 796 of the family's 1533-position model. The record is from RNAcentral.
GUGGGGAAUAUUGGACAAUGGGCGAAAGCCUGAUCCAGCCAUGCCGCGUGUGUGAAGAAGGUCUUCGGAUUGUAAAGCACUUUAAGUUGGGAGGAAGGGCAGUAAGUUAAUACCUUGCUGUUUUGACGUUACCGACAGAAUAAGCACCGGCUAACUUCGUGCCAGCAGCCGCGGUAAUACGAAGGGUGCAAGCGUUAAUCGGAAUUACUGGGCGUAAAGCGCGCGUAGGUGGUUUUGUAAGUUGGAGGUGAAAUCCCCGGGCUCAACCUGGGAACUGCCUCCAAAACUGAAUGACUAGAGUACGGUAGAGGGUAGUGGAAUUUCCUGUGUAGCGGUGAAAUGCGUAGAUAUAGGAAGGAACACCAGUGGCGAAGGCGACUACCUGGACUGAUACUGACACUGAGGUGCGAAAGCGUGGGGAGCAAACAGGAUUAGAAACCCCAGUAGUCC